Molecule: ribosomal RNA, 483 nt
Filed under: uncultured bacterium
Lineage: Bacteria
Description: partial 16S ribosomal RNA
Rfam family: Bacterial small subunit ribosomal RNA
Source: RNAcentral
AUUGAACGCUGGCGGCAGGCCUAACACAUGCAAGUCGAGCGGAUGAAGGGAGCUUGCUCCUGGAUUCAGCGGCGGACGGGUGAGUAAUGCCUAGGAAUCUGCCUGGUAGUGGGGGAUAACGUCCGGAAACGGGCGCUAAUACCGCAUACGUCCUGAGGGAGAAAGUGGGGGAUCUUCGGACCUCACGCUAUCAGAUGAGCCUAGUCGGAUUAGCUAGUUGGUGGGGUAAAGGCCUACCAAGGCGACGAUCCGUAACUGGUCUGAGAGGAUGAUCAGUCACACUGGAACUGAGACACGGUCCAGACUCCUACGGGAGGCAGCAGUGGGGAAUAUUGGACAAUGGGCGAAAGCCUGAUCCAGCCAUGCCGCGUGUGUGAAGAAGGUCUUCGGAUUGUAAAGCACUUUAAGUUGGGAGGAAGGGCAGUAAGUUAAUACCUUGCUGUUUUGACGUUACCAACAGAAUAAGCACCGGCUAACUUCGUG